Molecule: long non-coding RNA, 1197 nt
Filed under: Equus caballus (horse)
Lineage: Eukaryota; Metazoa; Chordata; Mammalia; Perissodactyla; Equidae
Description: lncRNA (ENSECAG00000047873.1)
Source: RNAcentral
AGGCAGCUAUUAUGAGACUCAUCUCAGUUGUGCUGUGGCUGAAGGAUGCUUAUAGCAGUAAUGUGCCCCUGCUCAUGUCCCCUGCUCCUUCAAGGAAGGCUGUGUACCUUAGGAUUGCUCCUUGGUGGCCAUGAAGCUCCACAGCUCACAAAGGAACACAUUUAUUAAGCAAACAAACAAAAUACCUGUUCGCGGCUGGGGAUACAAAAUUUAAAAGGAAGAGUCCCUGUCCUUCACAUGUUAGUGAUAUGAUAAAUGUUGUGAUUGAUAUGAAGAUAUCGUGGAUACAUUUAGAUGGAACAGCAAUCAAACCUAGGUUGAGAAGAUCUUAUCAAGAGGACUACUGAUGGACUGAUCUCUGACCAACACUAGCCAGGAUAUAUCGGAAUAUGAACAGCAAUGCGGAAGGGCACAACAGGAGCACUAACAGCUGGACCCAGAUCCCAGGGGGAAUUAACAGUCUCAGAACACUGAACCUCCAAAAGAACCUGCCAACUUACCCCCAGGACUGUCUAUGACCUGAGCUUUGAAUGCUAGCCACUUCAGCUCCUUAACAGUGCUGUCAUUUGAUUCCAUUUACUUGUGGAAAUGGGAUUCAUUUUCGUCAGAACUGAAGUCCUUUUAAUUGAUAUUUACAUAAAUUUUCAAUUCAAUUUGAUCUCCUAUGAUCACCUCUGCGGCACAGAAAGAGACUAUGCACUUCAGUGAACUUUGUUCUGUGGACCCUCACAGCUUAUUUACCAGUUCUCCCUCCAUUAGAAAAUUGCAAAUUGUUCUGGGAUGUGUGGGCAGCAAAAAAUAUAAUUAAUAUUUCAUAGUUUUGUGUUACUACAGGAAAUAGAGGCUUUUGAAAUAUCAUCUUGUUAAUCAGUUGAUCUUUCUCCUCAAUAAUUAGAUCUUUCAAUUUACUUCUAAAAUUACUGAAAAUGGUAUUUAUUUAAUUCAUUUAAUGAAAAAAAUGACAUUUGAAAAUAAUAGAUAUUUUUAUAUUGAAUUGAAUUCUCCCAACACUCUUAGUGGCUAAUUCAUUGCUACUAUCACUUAAAACUUUGAUCUUCUAAUUUUUAAUGGGUUAGAAUUGAGAUAAUUAGAAAGUACAUGAUAGUGACUAAUUAGAAUAUGAACAGCACUAUGGGUGAACCACAAAUAAAGAGUGGGAAAUGUGUUGAAUUUUUUUAAUGUUUGAAAUUAUAUUGG